AUUGAACGCUGGCGGCAUGCCUUACACAUGCAAGUCGAACGGCAGCGCGGACUUCGGUCUGGCGGCGAGUGGCGAACGGGUGAGUAAUACAUCGGAACGUACCCUGUUGUGGGGGAUAACUAGUCGAAAGAUUAGCUAAUACCGCAUACGACCUGAGGGUGAAAGUGGGGGACCGCAAGGCCUCACGCAGCAGGAGCGGCCGAUGUCUGAUUAGCUAGUUGGUGGGGUAAAGGCCCACCAAGGCGACGAUCAGUAGCUGGUCUGGGAGGACGAUCAGCCACACUGGGACUGAGACACGGCCCAGACUCCUGCGGGAGGCAGCAGUGGGGAAUUUUGGACAAUGGGGGCAACCCUGAUCCAGCAAUGCCGCGUGUGUGAAGAAGGCCUUCGGGUUGUAAAGCACUUUUGUCCGGAAAGAAAUCGCGCUGGUUAAUACCUGGCGUGGAUGACGGUACCGGAAGAAUAAGCACCGGCUAACUACGUGCCAGCCGCCGCAGUAA
Molecule: ribosomal RNA, 500 nt
Filed under: uncultured bacterium
Lineage: Bacteria
Description: partial 16S ribosomal RNA
Rfam family: Bacterial small subunit ribosomal RNA
Source: RNAcentral